AACAUGUCCCAGUCGGGCUGCAUGAACUCGCCGAGGAAGAGCGUGUUGUAGGCGACGGAGGAGAUGUGGACGGUGUGCGACGCCGGGUCGCGCGGGUAGAAGUCGUCGGAGGCGCGCACGACGGCGGUCUGCUUGGCGCUGUAGAGCAUGUCGGUGUUGUGGCACAUGCACGAGAUGCAGCCGUUGUCCGGGAAGUUGCGCGCGACGGAGGCCUCGAGCGCGCGGUGGUAGGCGCGGGUGAGCGCGACGCGGCCGCCGUGCCCGGCGCCGAGGGUCUCCACGAUGUUCUGCACGUCCACCUUGACGCCGUCGACGCCGCAGGCGGCCAGGUAGGCGUGGAGCUCGUCGUAGAAGCGGUGGACCCUGCGCGGGUGCACGAGGCCGAGGCCGAGCACGGAGAGCGAGUCCAUGACGAUGUCCGGCUGGUUGCCCGUGACGCCCGGCGACUGCACCGGGUACGCCAGCGCCGGCUCGUAGUGCUC
Molecule: long non-coding RNA, 482 nt
Filed under: Hordeum vulgare
Lineage: Eukaryota; Viridiplantae; Streptophyta; Magnoliopsida; Poales; Poaceae
Description: long non-coding RNA (HVUL_LNC006554)
Source: RNAcentral